UACGGAGGGUGCAAGCGUUAUCCGGAUUCACUGGGUUUAAAGGGUGCGUAGGUGGGCUGGUAAGUCAGUGGUGAAAUCUCCGAGCUUAACUCGGAAACUGCCAUUGAUACUAUCAGUCUUGAAUACCGUGGAGGUCAGUAGAAUAUGUCAUGUAGCGGUGAAAUGCUUAGAUAUGACAUAGAAUACCAAUUGCGAAGGCAGCUGGCUACACGAAUAUUGACACUCAGGCACGAAAGCGUGGGGAGCAAACAGG
This 253-nucleotide ribosomal RNA is filed under the name uncultured bacterium. RNAcentral's name for it is "partial 16S ribosomal RNA". It matches the Rfam family "Bacterial small subunit ribosomal RNA", at positions 524 to 776 of the family's 1533-position model. The record is from RNAcentral.